AGCGAACGCUGGCGGCAGGCCUAACACAUGCAAGUCGAACGAACUCUUCGGAGUUAGUGGCGGACGGGUGAGUAACACGUGGGAACGUGCCUUUUGGUUCGGAAUAACUCAGGGAAACUUGUGCUAAUACCGAAUGUGCCCUUCGGGGGAAAGAUUUAUCGCCAUUAGAGCGGCCCGCGUCUGAUUAGCUAGUUGGUGAGGUAACAGCUCACCAAGGCGACGAUCAGUAGCUGGUCUGAGAGGAUGACCAGCCACACUGGGACUGAGACACGGCCCAGACUCCUACGGGAGGCAGCAGUGGGGAAUCUUGCGCAAUGGGCGAAAGCCUGACGCAGCCAUGCCGCGUGAAUGAUGAAGGUCUUAGGAUUGUAAAAUUCUUUCACCGGGGACGAUAAUGACGGUACCCGGAGAAGAAGCCCCGGCUAACUUCGUG
RNAcentral lists this ribosomal RNA (433 nucleotides) under uncultured bacterium. RNAcentral's name for it is "partial 16S ribosomal RNA". It matches the Rfam family "Bacterial small subunit ribosomal RNA", at positions 29 to 507 of the family's 1533-position model. The record is from RNAcentral.